UACUCCUACGGGAGGCAGCAGUGGGGAAUAUUGCACAAUGGGCGAAAGCCUGAUGCAGCAACGCCGCGUGAGCGAUGAAGGCCUUCGGGUCGUAAAGCUCUGUCCUCAAGGAAGAUAAUGACGGUACUUGAGGAGGAAGCCCCGGCUAACUACGUGCCAGCAGCCGCGGUAAU
RNAcentral lists this ribosomal RNA (173 nucleotides) under uncultured bacterium. Its description in RNAcentral is "partial 16S ribosomal RNA". It matches the Rfam family "Bacterial small subunit ribosomal RNA", at positions 334 to 524 of the family's 1533-position model. The record is from RNAcentral.